ACGGUGAUUAAUACCGGAUACUCCUUCUUGUUAUAAGACAAGUCGGGAAAGUUUUUCGCUAGGGGAUCAGUCUAUGUUCCAUCAGCUUGUUGGUGAGGUAAUGGCUCACCAAGGCUAUGACGGAUAUCUGGUUUGAGAGGAUGAUCAGACACGCUGGAACUGAGACACGGUCCAGACUCCUACGGGAGGCAGCAGUGAGGAAUAUUGCACAAUGGAGGAAACUCUGAUGCAGCAACGCCGCGUGGAGGAUGACGCAUUUCGGUGUGUAAACUCCUUUUAUUAGGGAAGAUAAUGACGGUACCUAAUGAAUAAGCACCGGCUAACUCCGUGCCAGCAGCCGCGGUAAUACGGAGGGUGCAAGCGUUACUCGGAAUCACUGGGCGUAAAGGGUGCGUAGGCUGGCUUUUAAGUCAGAUGUGAAAUCCAAUGGCUCAACCAUUGAACUGCAUUUGAAACUGAAAGCCUAGAGUUCAGAAGGGGCAGAUGGAAUUAGUGGUGUAGGGGUAAAAUCCGUAGAUAUCACUAGGAAUAUCGAAAGCGAAGGCGAUC
Molecule: ribosomal RNA, 549 nt
Filed under: uncultured bacterium
Lineage: Bacteria
Description: bacterial SSU rRNA
Rfam family: Bacterial small subunit ribosomal RNA
Source: RNAcentral